Molecule: long non-coding RNA, 3609 nt
Filed under: Felis catus (domestic cat)
Lineage: Eukaryota; Metazoa; Chordata; Mammalia; Carnivora; Felidae
Description: lncRNA (ENSFCAG00000047083.1)
Source: RNAcentral
UAUGACUAUUUCAGACACCGCAAGGUUUGCAAAGGCAAAGGCAGGAAGAGAAGCUUGGUUUAGCCUGCGUUUAUUUUUGUGAUUGGAGAGUGAAGGCAGUCGAGAUAUCACAGGGCGUUCAGAAAGUUUCAGAAAGGGAAGUAUUUGUGCUUUAUCACUUGACCCAGAAACUCCAGCCGAGUGCUAAUCUUUGAUGGAUUCUGCCCGCCUCAUAGGCGCACUAAUAAUAAAAAUGAGGCAGAUGGGGAGCGUUUCAACACAUGACACAUCAAAUCCGUCUCCUGAGAUGUGCCCAUGCCCGUCACAGCCCUGCCUGGGUGGCUUCGAAUGCCGAGCACGGGCUGCAAAACACCGCCGUGCAAGAGGCCGACGCCUCCGCGGCCUAGCUUGGCGCCAGACAGAAGACAACACGCACGAGGUGUUUGCACUUGAACACGAAAGAGGCACAAGCACACACCUCUCCACCCACAUCCUGUCCCCAGGGCCUGCUCUUGAACAGCAACACAGCGUGCCGGAGGGGCAUCAGGAGACCCGGGUCUGGGCCACUGUUGAUCUGUGUGACCCUGGGCAUGUCGCGUCCCUCCUGGAGUCUUUUCGUCUGUGAGCAGCAUGGUUAGGAAUCCGCCUGUCUGGCUCACAGACUUAUAGGUGGUGGCCAGUGGAUAAAUACCAGUCACCUUGUGACCGCCCCCCAGAAAAGAGAUGUCCACGCAUCUGUCCCUAGUUCAGUAUGACGGUUGUUGCCAUUUAACGUGGCCAAGUGGGAAAGAGCUGGUAGUUUUCUUCCCAGAGAGAAGCGGAAUGUGCCCUCUCUGCUGACCCGGACGGGGACACCGACUCCAAGCCCCGCGAGCAUCGUCACGAGGAAGUCACAGUCGGGGCUCCGGGAAGCUCCGUGCUCCCGGCUCCUCUGUGCUCAUUCAGGUAGCCAGAGAGGCCACACGAGGCCCCUGCAGCAAGGGUGGGGCUCCCUGGGGUCAAAGUCAGAGAGGAACUCAGAACCCCGGGAGGGACUUUGAACGAACGAGAUUCAGCAAACACCGGUUCGGCGCCUCCAUUUCUCACCAGGCACGGGGCCGCUGCCUUCUGUGCAUUAAAUAAUCCACAUGACAAGCCUGGCUGAGGCAGCAGCGUUAUUUCGAUCUUGUGACGCUUGGGUCCACAUCGCUUGGGUGUCAUCUGAAACGUCACCUCCUCCUGACGCCUUCCCGGGUUCCUUCUCUCACACAGCGCCUGGCUCUUUCACGUAGCAACGUUGGGAUUGCACACUGCUUUGUGCUGCUGUCCAUGAUGUCCACCUGGACCGUAAGCACAGGGGCCCCGUCUCUUCUGUCACCGCCGUCUACAGGGUGCUUUGGAGACAUUCAGGAAAACACUGUUGGACAGAGUGUGGGAAUACACACAGGCAGUAGGGACUCAAACACGCGUUGCCUGCCUUCCUUAUUUUCCUCUUCGUCAUUUUUCACCACGUUUCUUUCCGGAUCCGAGAGGAGACGUGAUAUUUCAGGGGGGACUUUGCAAUAAGACCCCAAAGUUCCCACAAUCUUACUCAUCUUGAAACCACGGAGCACCUGGCUGCGGGGUGUGACGGAGGCCUCGGCAAAUCCCGGGACCCUCAAUCAUCUCUUCCCGCCUCGUGAGUUGCACUGUCUCCGGAGCCCUGCAGGUGCUCAAGGAUUUCGUCGAGGCCGUGCAGUAAGCCCGUGAAGCUUGUUGCUUACCCGUGUGACGCGCGCGCAGAUGGCGUCUGUCCCUGCCCUGGCCGAGAAGCCUGUUUUGUCUAUACAAACAUCUGAUGACGAGAAUAGGGGUCAGCCAGAGCUCAGAGCAUGCUGUCACUACCAUCAUCAGUGUGCAUUAAUGUUCAUUGCACCUGCUGGAAACGCCUUCUUCCCCCUCUUCUCUUCCAACCCCAGUCCUGGGAGUCAUCAGAGAUAAGUAGGCAAGCCUCUCACCCUGCUGCCGGCACGUAGUAGGUGCUUGGUAAUUACUUCCUCCCUUCCUUUGCCCGUUUGCCAAGGGUGGGCCCCGGCCCGCGGCCUCUCCACCCCGGUCCCCAGGUACGUCCCCUUCUCAGAUUCCCCCACCACUGACUCUUUCCCCUUGCAAUUGGCCAGUAAGCCAGCAAACUGAACUGGGACACUUCUCCUCUGCACCUGUUGGUCUCCAAAUCUAGUCUGUGAGUGAGCUCACAGCUCCUUGAAGACAAGGACUCAGCCUAAUGUGUCAUAGUCUUACCAUUCUUGUGCCUUAACAACGCUGGUUUCGGGCCUGGCCUUGCCUGUGGUAGACGCCCCGUAAAUCAGGCCUCAGAGCCUUUAUAGGCCAAGGCAUGAUGGAUGUAGAACAGGCUAGGAAAGCGAGUGGGCGUAAACGGUGAACCAGCUCUUCCUCCUUCGGGUUCUGAAUUGGGUUCUGCAACCCUGUCAUUAUAAUGCCCAAUCCCCCUUCCAAGGGGCAGCCCGUACCCAGCAGGAUUCAUAGCGCGUUAGCACUGGAGCUAGACCACGGUGGGAAGAUCCACAGCAUACAAGCAAAAAGCUGAAUUAGGAAGCGAUGAGGAUCGAAGCAGGGGAGCAGAAUUCUGUCCAAGGCGUUAGCAUGGAGUCAAAAUGCGUGUGAAAGCCAGAACAUCAAGAGUCAGGCCCUCUCUGAGGCGUAGACCAGAUAGACAAGGAGAGGCCAGCAGGAGAAGAGACGGCGGCAGAGAGACUCGUGACCCUGCAGCACCUCUUUCCUGGAGGGGCCCUGGGGCCUGGGGCUCAGCCCAGUUUGAUGGCUUAGAGUCUAAGGACACCCACGCGGGCCUCCGCGGCUUCCCUUGGCUCACUGGUAUCCAGACAAAAAGGGAACCAAGCCGUGGACAGACAGAAGUUCCUGUUUCCCAUUUCAUGAAAACUGUGAAUCUCUGUCACAUUCUGGGCUCGGGCUGUGUCCGGGGCCCAGCCCCUGGCCCUCGGCCAACCUGCAAAAUUCCAUUUCAGUUUGGAGUUUGAAAUCUGUCAUGCGUCGACAUUUUGGUCAGACGGCUUAAGAGCGCUGUUGUCCGGAAUUCACUGAGUCUGCAUUUUGUACAACUGCUCCCUCUUCAUAAGGUGUAGCCCCCGUGUUCAGCGAGAGAGGCUAAAUACACGAGAAUCUUCAAACCAGAAAUUGGCCGGGUUCUCCCGGAGCGCUUCUGUCCUGGGAGGGCAGGGGCGAGGCUGUUGACACAGGAACUUAUUCAUUAACCUCAUUCAGAGGCUACAAAUUGGUUCUUUAUUCACAACAGGGAACACGGCUUCAUGAGCUCUUUUUUUUUUUUUGUCUUUCAAAUCAGAUACACAAAUAAGCUGAUAACCAUUUUCAGAAUAUAUAAAACAAGAAUCUCCAGUUACGGGAGCAAAGCCUGUAGCUUCUGAGUUCCUGCCUUACUGAGGAAAUGGAUUUGAAAUGCCAGGAGGUAAACGUUCAUGUCUAUUUUAGAUUUCCGGUGAGGUCCUAUUUCCUUUGGAUUCUGUAUAAACAAAGAGAGAACAGUUGUUGGUUUGGUUAUUUCAGAUAACCCACGUCUUUCAAGUAAAUGGAGUCUAUCUAAAUGGAGAUCUAAUAAAUGACUAAACUUUUCCA